Molecule: ribosomal RNA, 484 nt
Filed under: uncultured bacterium
Lineage: Bacteria
Description: partial 16S ribosomal RNA
Rfam family: Bacterial small subunit ribosomal RNA
Source: RNAcentral
AUUGAACGCUGGCGGCAGGCCUAACACAUGCAAGUCGAGCGGAUGAAGGGAGCUUGCUCCUGGAUUCAGCGGCGGACGGGGGAGUAAUGCCUAGGAAUCUGCCGGGUAGUGGGGGAUAACGUCCGGAAACGGGCGCUAAUACCGCAUACGUCCUGAGGGAGAAAGUGGGGGAUCUUCGGACCUCACGCUAUCAGAUGAGCCUAGGUCGGAUUAGCUAGUUGGUGGGGUAAAGGCCUACCAAGGCGACGAUCCGUAACUGGUCUGAGAGGAUGAUCAGUCACACUGGAACUGAGACACGGUCCAGACUCCUACGGGAGGCAGCAGUGGGGAAUAUUGGACAAUGGGCGAAAGCCUGAUCCAGCCAUGCCGCGUGUGUGAAGAAGGUCUUCGGAUUGUAAAGCACUUUAAGUUGGGAGGAAGGGCAGUAAGUUAAUACCUUGCUGUUUUGACGUUACCAACAGAAUAAGCACCGGCUAACUUCGUG